RNAcentral lists this ribosomal RNA (502 nucleotides) under uncultured bacterium. RNAcentral describes it as "partial 16S ribosomal RNA". It matches the Rfam family "Bacterial small subunit ribosomal RNA", at positions 30 to 523 of the family's 1533-position model. The record is from RNAcentral.
AUUGAACGCUGGCGGAAUGCUUUACACAUGCAAGUCGAACGGCAGCACGGGUGCUUGCACCUGGUGGCGAGUGGCGAACGGGUGAGUAAUAUAUCGGAACGUAUCCAAUAAUGGGGGAUAACUAAUCGAAAGGUUGGCUAAUACCGCAUACGCCCUACGGGGGAAAGCAGGGGAUCUUCGGACCUUGCGUUAAUGGAGCGGCCGAUAUCUGAUUAGCUAGUAGGUGAGGUAAAGGCUCACCUAGGCGACGAUCAGUAGCUGGUCUGAGAGGACGACCGGCCAGACUGGAACUGAGACACGGUCCAGACUCCUACGGGAGGCAGCAGUGGGGAAUUUUGGACAAUGGGCGCAAGCCUGAUCCAGCCAUUCCGCGUGAGUGAAGGAGGCUUUCGGGUUGUAAAGCUCUUUCGCAAGGGAAGAAACGAUACAGUCUAAUAAACUGUGUUAAUGACGGUACCUUGAUAAGAAGCACCGGCUAACUACGUGCCAGCCGCCGCCGUAA